AAACAAAUGAAGUAACCAGGCUUCACUUUGAAGGUUCAGCUGCAUCUCAUAGAUAUCUGGUAAAGAAGGGAUCUGGGAAGAAGAGAGAGGUUGGUUCUGUAAAGUAACCAGAAUGUUUCUAAUGCCACUUCUGUAGUUCUGAUACCUAAAGCAAAGAGUUAGAGUAUGAACAGAGAAAUUUUCAGGUAGACAUUGGAUGAUUUUUAAUUUUUUUUGUUGUAUUUUUUUUUUCAGUCCUAUAAUCAGGUGUGGAAAUCUGUAGUUUGUUGGAGCAGUUGUAAUUUAUUCCUUUCUCUAGUCUUGGCCUGCACUAAAGUCGAUGGAGAUUUGGCAGACACCUAGCAUGCUGCUCUUCGUGAAGUCUAACUACAGUGGUAUGCAGGAAAGGAAUCGAACUGAUUAUUUUCUAGCUCUCAAUCCUUCUUAGCAUCUUCAUUGGCUACCCAGAAUUUGGUUACUGAAGAAACUUUGUCCGCAGCCGGGGCGUGUUUUAACUGCGGAAAGGAAGGAGCUGCCCCCUGCCCCAGUAUUGCCCUGUUAUUUCCACGAGCGCGACUCCAGCUGGGGCUUUCGCUCCGCUGCCGCCGAGCCGCCCGCGGCCCCGCGCAAGGCCG
This 614-nucleotide long non-coding RNA is filed under the name Struthio camelus australis. Its description in RNAcentral is "lncRNA (ENSSCUG00000005244.1)". The record is from RNAcentral. Lineage: Eukaryota; Metazoa; Chordata; Aves; Struthioniformes; Struthionidae.